Molecule: ribosomal RNA, 444 nt
Filed under: uncultured bacterium
Lineage: Bacteria
Description: SSU rRNA
Rfam family: Bacterial small subunit ribosomal RNA
Source: RNAcentral
AGAGCGAACGCUGGCGGCAGGCCUAACACAUGCAAGUCGAGCGCCCCGCAAGGGGAGCGGCAGACGGGAGAGUAACACGUGGGAACGUACCCUUCAGUUCGGAACAACCCAGGGAAACUUGGGCUAAUACCGGAUACGUCCGUAAGGAGAAAGAUUUAUCGCUGAAGGAUCGGCCCGCGUCUGAUUAGCUAGUUGGUGGGGUAACGGCUCACCAAGGCGACGAUCAGUAGCUGGUCUGAGAGGAUGAUCAGCCUCACUGGGACUGAGACACGGCCCAGACUCCUACGGGAGGCAGCAGUGGGGAAUAUUGGACAAUGGGCGCAAGCCUGAUCCAGCCAUGCCGCGUGGGUGAUGAAGGCCCUAGGGUUGUAAAGCCCUUUCGGCGGGGAAGAUAAUGACGGUACCCGCAGAAGAAGCCCCGGCUAACUUCGCGCCAGCAGCCGC